GGCCAGACUCCUACGGGAGGCAGCAGUGGGGAAUAUUGCACAAUGGGGGAAACCCUGAUGCAGCGACGCCGCGUGAGUGAAGAAGUAUUUCGGUAUGUAAAGCUCUAUCAGCAGGGAAGAAAAUGACGGUACCUGACUAAGAAGCCCCGGCUAACUACGUGCCAGCAGCCGCGGUAAUACGUAGGGGGCAAGCGUUAUCCGGAUUUACUGGGUGUAAAGGGAGCGUAGACGGCAUGGCAAGUCAGAUGUGAAAGCCCGGGGCUCAACCCCGGGACUGCAUUUGAAACUGUCAGGCUGGAGUGCAGGAGAGGUAAGUGGAAUUCCUAGUGUAGCGGUGAAAUGUGUAGAUAUUAGGAGGAACACCAGUGGCGAAGGCGGCUUACUGGACUGUAACUGACGUUGAGGCUCGAAAGCGUGGGGAGCAAACAGGAUUAGAUACCCUCGUA
Molecule: ribosomal RNA, 446 nt
Filed under: uncultured bacterium
Lineage: Bacteria
Description: bacterial SSU rRNA
Rfam family: Bacterial small subunit ribosomal RNA
Source: RNAcentral